CCAAUAGCGUACAUUAAAGUUGUUGCAGUUAAAAAGCUCGUAGUUGAAUUUCGGGAUCAAUUUGUUGGUCGUGCAAAUUGCACGUACUGGUUCAUUGGUUCCUACCUUCUGACGAACCAUGAUGCCAUUAAUUUGGUGUUAUGGGGAAUCAGGACUGUUACUUUGAAAAAAUUAGAGUGUUUAAAGCAGGCUCACGCUUGAAUACAUUAGCAUGGAGUAAUGAAAUAGGACGUUUGAUUCUAUUUUGUUGGUUUCUAGGAUCGACGUAAUGAUUAAUAGGGAUAGUUGGGGGCAUUAGUAUUCAAUUGUCAGAGGUGAAAUUCUUAGAUUUAUUGAAGACUAACUACUGCGAAAGCAUUUGCCAAGGAUGUUUUCAUUAAUCAAGAACGAAAGUUAGGGGAUCGAAGACGAUCAGAUACCGUCGUAGUCUUAACCAUAAACUAUGCCGACUAGGGAUCGGAUGAUGUUAAUUUUUUAAUGACUCAUUCGGCGCCUUACG
This 499-nucleotide ribosomal RNA is filed under the name uncultured Glomeromycotina. RNAcentral describes it as "partial small subunit ribosomal RNA". It matches the Rfam family "Eukaryotic small subunit ribosomal RNA", at positions 591 to 1092 of the family's 1831-position model. Lineage: Eukaryota; Fungi; Glomeromycota. The record is from RNAcentral.